Long non-coding RNA from Gallus gallus (chicken), 1038 nucleotides. The record is from Ensembl. NCBI's taxonomy places the organism in Eukaryota, Metazoa, Chordata, Aves, Galliformes, Phasianidae.
AUCUGAGUGACCAGCAGGGGUGGAGCCUGGAUCCAUCCCUCCUCACCCUCAUUUAAGGGUUAGCAGUCAAGAGAGCACCAUUUCUUUGGAUAGAGGCUGGACUUCUCUCAAGCUGUCACUGGGCAUCAGAUGGGCACUUCUGGGUCUCGAAGGACUUACCAGCCUGAAUCCAGCAACAGGAUCCUGCCAAAGACUUUUGGCCUGGCCCUGGAAAUCAAAUAUCUUGGUUUGCAUGGCUUCAGAUGUAAGAAACACAAUGGUGUCGAGCUGCCUUUGAAGGAACUCAGCUGGGUGCCUUUGCUUUACCAGGAAGGUUUAGCUGCAGAGGGACAAACCACCCAUCCGUUACUCACUCAUAACUGGAGACUUGGCAGAGUUUCUCUCUCUUUCUCCUCUGGCCAGUGCUGGGGUGAGGAAGGGGAAUGAUUAGCAAGAUUAAUCUCCUGUAGACUAGAUGGACGUGUAAUCUUAUGCACUAUCUUCAAGACAGACUGGGUUGAUGUUAUUGUUUCCUUUUCAUCUGAGUUUACAUCUUCACAAGCAAAGGCAAUAAGAUGGAAGUAGGCAUGAAGGGAAAAAUAUGAAGGAGAAACGAAGCUGAAAAAAAAAAGAAAAAAGAGAAAAAAAAGAAAAUGCACUAAAAAAAAAAUCCAAGAAAAAGGACAGUGCUUUUAUUCUGCAGAUUCAGUGGGGGCAGGUGUAAAGCUGAGAAGUGUCUGUAAAGAUCUCCUAAACACCGUACUAACUAAAGUUUCCUGACUUUCCCAAGGAUGACUGUAUCUCAGUGUGUGCGUGGCUGGAGAAAUCACAACUUUACACGUGGUAUUUCAGCUUGCAGUUCCAAGCACCUCAAUUUCCUUGUGUUCACCAGUUUUCCCUGAGGGUAAAAGAGCCUGUGGAGCAAGACGGAUCAAUUGUCUUUAGAGCUGGUCAGAUUCAUGGCAUCAGUGAACCAUUCCCAAAGCGGAGACCCACAUGUUGAGGCUGCCAGAAAGCACAGGAUCCUCUCCUGCCUCAGGACACCACACUGCUGCCCUG